RNAcentral lists this ribosomal RNA (253 nucleotides) under uncultured bacterium. RNAcentral's name for it is "partial 16S ribosomal RNA". It matches the Rfam family "Bacterial small subunit ribosomal RNA", at positions 524 to 776 of the family's 1533-position model. The record is from RNAcentral.
UACGGGGGGGGCAAGCGUUGUUCGGAAUUACUGGGCGUAAAGGGCGCGUAGGCGGUCCGCUAAGUUAGAUGUGAAAACUCUGGGCUUAACCCAGAGCCUGCAUCUAAUACUGACGGGCUAGAGUUCUGGAGGGGGUAGCGGAAUUCCUGGUGUAGCGGUGAAAUGCGUAGAUAUCAGGAGGAACACCGGUGGCGAAGGCGGCUACCUGGACAGAAACUGACGCUGAGGCGCGAAAGCUAGGGGAGCAAACAGG